Long non-coding RNA from Canis lupus familiaris (dog), 667 nucleotides. RefSeq lists it as uncharacterized. The transcript has 3 exons. Lineage: Eukaryota; Metazoa; Chordata; Mammalia; Carnivora; Canidae. The record is from RefSeq and is a predicted model, not a curated record.
UUAGAGCUUGAGAGAGGGCAAGAUUGGAUCUCUGAUAAUCAUCAGCAUAGAAAUUAUCCUAACGUGAGGCUGAGGAUAAUAAUCCUGAGAGAUUCUCAGUGGACUGCUCCCCAAGGCCAUUACAGAAUGCUGAAGUCGGCCCUCUUUAGACAAAGGGCCUCAGAGAGUUUCUUGGCCUGAUAUUCUUACAUUGUUAGUGGAGAGUUUCAUCCACCUUCAAGGCAGUCUAUGAAAGGUGUGGAUUUCGAAUCUCAGACCAUUCCCUGGAGCUGGUAGUCUCUGCUUGCAUUGCGUAUUUGAGGAAGGCAAAUCCAGCCUACAAAACCAAGAAAGAUGCCAUCCCUAUGUACCAGACACUGCUCUGGGGGAGAGCGAGACACAAGGCUAUUAUCUUGCCUCACGUAGCUAAGCUGUUUGACUUUUGACAAAUCCCUGCCUCCCUCUGGCCCUCAAUUCCUCGACCUACUCAGCGAGGUGCCCUCAUGGUGAAGGUAAACCAUUUAGACUCCGAUGCCAGCUUCAUCUCUUUCCUGUUGUGUGACCACAAGCGGGUUAAUGUGGGCUCCCUGAGCCUGUUUCCUCAUCUGUAAAAUGGGGAUAACUGAACCCGUCUCACCGGGUGGCACUGAGGGUGGAAUACAGGGACCCCGCACCUGCGCUCGCGGCG